AGUGAACGCUGGCGGUAGGCCUAACACAUGCAAGUCGAACGGAAGCACAGUAAGAGCUUGCUCUUACGGGUGGCGAGUGGCGGAUGGGUGAGGAAUACAUCGGAAUCUACUAAGUCGUGGGGGAUAACGGAGGGAAACAGACGAUAAUAGCGAAUACGAUGUACGGGAGGAAGCAGGGGAGCAACGGAGUUUGCGCGACUGAAAGAGCCGAAGUCGGAUUAGCUAGUUGGGGGGGUAACGGCACACCAAGGCGACGAUACGAAGCAGGUCUGAGAGGAUGAUCGGCCACACUGGAACUGAGACACGGUCCAGACUCCUACGGGAGGCAGCAGUAGGGAAUAUUCGGCAAUGGGCGCAAGCCUGAUCCAGCCAUGCCGCGUGAGUGAUGAAGGCCUUCGGAUUGUAAAGCCCUUUUAUUGGGAAAGAAAAUCAGCAGAUUUAUACCCCGCUGUUCUGACGGUACCCAAUGAAUAAGCCCCGGCUAACUUCGUG
This 492-nucleotide ribosomal RNA is filed under the name uncultured bacterium. RNAcentral describes it as "partial 16S ribosomal RNA". It matches the Rfam family "Bacterial small subunit ribosomal RNA", at positions 29 to 507 of the family's 1533-position model. The record is from RNAcentral.